Corapipo altera (White-ruffed manakin) is the source of this 2695-nucleotide long non-coding RNA. RefSeq lists it as uncharacterized. NCBI's taxonomy places the organism in Eukaryota, Metazoa, Chordata, Aves, Passeriformes, Pipridae. The transcript is spliced from 3 exons. The record is from RefSeq and is a predicted model, not a curated record.
GCAGAUCUGCAGUGAUAAACAUCAGGGAUCUGGUAAUUAGUCCAUAAGUAUCCCUCAAAGGAUGAGGCUCAUUUGCUACACUACAGGCUAUGGCCUUCAUCAGAAGGUCCCAAAGACAAGAGACAUGAAACUCCUGUGCAAAGGACAGCAGGAUAAGCAUGAGGCAGAUGUUCCUUAUUGCAGAGUUGUGGUCCAUGCACCAUGGCAGCCAAAUGCCGAUAGGUAGAACCUAAAAUGCUUUUCUUCCUCUUUCUGUCUAGUGCUUGAUGGCUACCCUGCUUGCUAAGAGCCAUGUCUGUGUUCUUUCCCCAACACAUACCUAGUUCAUCUGUGUCCUACCACCUAGAAAAUUUCCUGUUGUGUGUCAAAGCUACCCAAACCUUCAUGGUGACUGAAUUUCCUCCCAGCUGUUCCCAAAGGCAAAGCAGCAACGGAUAUGAAGUAAGGAAUAUGCAUCCCCACGUAGCCUCCUGCAUCAGAGUACCAUGGCACAGUAUGACCCUGGAAUGAACCUAGAGGCUGACAGUCAAGACAGUAGGUAGACAUGAUUUCCAAAAUGACACCCAUGAGUCUUCAGUCACACAGAUAGUUACAGAGCAAAGCAAUGUUGAAACAUUAGAAAUGAUGCAGCCCAAGUGAAGCUGGUAGGAAAUGGGAGGUAAAAUAGAAGGUGGGAUAUGAACUGGAGUCAUAACUGUUAAAGAAACACACAGACACUUGCGGUUACAGCGAGUUAGGUUCUUACUGUGUGCAUGAUCUAUCUAUUGCGUCUGUAAAGAUCUUUUGCAGGUUUGUAGUUUCUCUACUGUUCAACUAUUAUGUUCCCUUAACAUCUUUUUCCACACUGUCUGCCACCAGUGCUGUGACAGGGCCAGUCUCUUUUUUCUCUACUUACUUAUAGAAACAGGACUUAAUUUUCCAGAAAGUGCCCAAAGACCAUCCAGUCACUGUGUGUGAGUUGAAAAAGGGCAUAUCCAUUGUCUGCUAGAAGAUUCUUCAUCCUUUAAAAACACAAGUACCCAGUGACACAACUCACUUCAGACAAAGAACGAUGCCUCAGACCAGACAGGCUUGUUGGUCUCAGCAUUAAGCCAGCAGAAAUCCUUCACUUUGUUCUGACAUUUCCAGCAGGUGCUCUGGCAGACGAGGUGCUAGCCUUAGAAACCAAAAGCAGGAUUCCCCUCAAGCUGAUCUGUGGCUCACCCUAAGCACACUCUUGGAGCCAGGAGCUCUUAUUUGCCGUGUAUCUGGCAGAGAAGAGGUGGAGUCUCCAGUGCCCUGAAGCCCAGCUUCCCAGGUACAUACCAGACCCUGCCCCUGGCAGGGACCUGGCUCUGUCAGGUGUGCUGGGACCCAGCCAGGUUGUCUGAGUCAGCCCAAGAGAAAUGCCAUCAUCUCUUCCUCUUUGCAGGUCCACAGUUUGUGUAUUAGGAGGAAGAGAAACUCAUCUUAAAACGAGUGCUAACCCUAGCAUUGGGCAGUCUGCUGUUACUGCAUGCAGGGACUUCUCGGGGAGAAGAGCAAAAUGGUGAGUAGGAGUUGGUUGGCUUUGUUUGGAUGGAAGCAGUGAGAGGACGAGGACGUCAGAGAGCAGAAGAGGUGAGGCCACUGAACUGGUUAUCUAUCGGUUGAAAAGCUCCCUGGGGUGUUUAACCCUCCCAUUCUCUGCCCUGACCAGAUCAGUCAAGCUGAUUGUUUGCUGUGCAUUUCCUUAUGGUGCAACAGAUAGGUUCAGAUAUCUGCUUGGAUUUUAACAUCUGCCCCAGCUUUUCUGUCCUGGAGGUAUUGCCUGGUCUUAGGACAGUUGGAGCAAAGAGGAGACUGAUGCCCUGGAUCAUGAAGUGGACCCUUCAGGAGAUUUCUUGUCCUGGGAGCUGAAACACACUGGUAUCUGUUUAAAAAUGGCCAGGUGAGAGUGGCUGAGAGUAAAACCUCCCUUCUCCCAGCAGCUAGCUGACUCUGGGCUAAAGCAACAUUCUCCUCUGAAAUGUAAUAAUGAACUAAUUCCAUGAGCAUUCACUGAUCAACAGAAGACUUAUGGGAGUGCAGCACAAAGUUACUUGUUAAUGGCAUACAAACAGAAAUAAUAUAUUAAUGGCUUUGAUCUCUCUAACCUCUGCUGGUCUUCUCUCACUUCCCCCUGUUGGUCCCCUUGGGAUCUCCCUUUGUCUCUCUUCCUCAGCCCUACCCAGUGAAUGGCCUGUGCCAGCUCCAUACAAGAACUGACGAAUCAACAUCCUAGACGGCAGGAAGGACAUGAAUAUGAAUCAUCCCCUCCCAGACCUCCAGAGGACUUUUAUAUGACCAUGAUGCAGGGGAUAACAAGUAUCUAUGUAAAUGAAGAUCAAGACAAACACCUCAAACUGAACAUCCAGACGCAACCAAGGCCCAUGAGAGGGCCCAGAAGAGAGUCGCCUGUGGUGGAAUAUUUUUAUGAAAACCAUCCAGUCUCCAAAUGAAAGAAAAGCACCAAAUUGUAUCUGGGGCCAGAAAUAACAACCAGAAAUAACAACAAGACACAACCCUUUUCCUGGACACCAGGGGUCACACGGUUGCAGAUUAUGAACAAGAGACUUUUCUCUUUGAGCCUACAUGAAAUUCUAUAGAGACCAAGACUAAAAGCAAUUGGAUGGAGAAAGAACUUGUUUGCAAUCGUGCCUCUGAGAUGUAGAAGCAAAAUCAGAUUCCAUUGGAG